This 373-nucleotide unclassified non-coding RNA is filed under the name Hevea brasiliensis (rubber tree). Lineage: Eukaryota; Viridiplantae; Streptophyta; Magnoliopsida; Malpighiales; Euphorbiaceae. The record is from RNAcentral.
AGAAGCGACAAACGCAUUGUCAUGGUAUAUUCAAAACUAAUCAUAAUCAGGGACACAAUGUCUUCAACAAAAGCAACCCAAUUGCGAUGCUCAUACUUCCAUUUUCCCGCUUAAUCCAAAUUACUCCCUUGCUAUGACGCAUCAAUUCCCCAUCUAGUAAAGGGAGGAGGCCAAGAAUCUCUGUUAUUGGGGCAUACAGGAUCAUAGAAGGGUUCAAUACGGAUGGAGUCAGCGUCACCAAGCCAAUUCUGGUAGACGAACCCAUCGGACCUUACAAGUGGCAAGCUCUGGGCAUGCGGGUUCCAGAGAGACCCACUGAUAAGAAAGAAAAAGAAGAACAACAAUAUGAGAGCGGCGAGUAGUGCGCUUGAGU